Xylaria nigripes is the source of this 132-nucleotide non-coding RNA. Lineage: Eukaryota; Fungi; Ascomycota; Sordariomycetes; Xylariales; Xylariaceae. The record is from the annotation of a GenBank genome assembly.
GGGCGAAUGGUCUAGAGGUAUGAUAUUCGCUUUGCAUAAGUAAGCUGACUGUGAACUCAUUUUACACGAUGGUUGCCUUUGGCUGUAAUAGUGUAUUGCGAAGGGUCCGGGGUUCAAUUCCCUGUUCGUCCA